CAGGUAAGCUGGUCCAGGUGAGCUGGUCCAGGUAAGCUCAGGUGAGCUGGUCCAGGUGAGCUCAGGUGAGCUGGUCCAGGUAAGCUCAGGUGAGCUGGUUCAGGUGAGCUGGUCCAGGUGAGCUCAGGUGAGCUGGUCCAGGUAAGCUCAGGUGAG
Molecule: long non-coding RNA, 156 nt
Organism: Cyclopterus lumpus (lumpfish)
Lineage: Eukaryota; Metazoa; Chordata; Actinopteri; Perciformes; Cyclopteridae
Exons: 3
Source: RefSeq, a predicted model, not a curated record